AGUGAACGCUGGCGGUAGGCCUAACACAUGCAAGUCGAACGGCAGCACAGUAAGAGCUUGCUCUUACGGGUGGCGAGUGGCGGACGGGUGAGGAAUACAUCGGAAUCUACUUUUUCGUGGGGGAUAACGUAGGGAAACUUACGCUAAUACCGCAUACGACCUACGGGUGAAAGCAGGGGAUCUUCGGACCUUGCGCGAUUGAAUGAGCCGAUGUCGGACUAGCUAGUUGGCGGGGUAAAGGCCCACCAAGGCGACGAUCCGUAGCUGGUCUGAGAGGAUGAUCAGCCACACUGGAACUGAGACACGGUCCAGACUCCUACGGGAGGCAGCAGUGGGGAAUAUUGGACAAUGGGCGCAAGCCUGAUCCAGCCAUACCGCGGGGGUGAAGAAGGCCUUCGGGUUGUAAAGCCCUUUUGUUGGGAAAGAAAAGCAGCAGGUUAAUACCCCGCUGUUCUGACGGUACCCAAAGAAUAAGCACCGGCUAACUUCGUG
This 492-nucleotide ribosomal RNA is filed under the name uncultured bacterium. Its description in RNAcentral is "partial 16S ribosomal RNA". It matches the Rfam family "Bacterial small subunit ribosomal RNA", at positions 29 to 507 of the family's 1533-position model. The record is from RNAcentral.